CCGUGAGUCGGGCUCGGCAGGGACGGAUUUUGGGCAUUGCUGGAAGAGCAUUGAGUCCUCUACUGUUGAUUUGAGAGGAAUUAGCCAGCAAGGCAUGAGCAUUUUAUCCAUUUGGUUUUCCUCUCAUUCAAGUCGUAGUUGACUCCACCCCUCGCUGCUUAUCAUCUCAGUCCAGCCCGAGAAGGAUCGGCCCUGUGUCACCGAACAAGAUCCAUACAAACAUUAUGAUCCAGUCCAGGAAUUUCCACUCACAAAUAAGGUACUCAGAAAGUUCCUGACACAGUAGACAUCCCAAUCGCUGGGUGUCUCGUCCAUCACCUCAUUGAUGAUGGUUCGUCAGCCA
This is a non-coding RNA of Chiloscyllium plagiosum (whitespotted bambooshark), 343 nucleotides long. NCBI's taxonomy places the organism in Eukaryota, Metazoa, Chordata, Chondrichthyes, Orectolobiformes, Hemiscylliidae. The record is from RefSeq and is a predicted model, not a curated record.